Molecule: ribosomal RNA, 523 nt
Filed under: Saccharomyces cerevisiae (brewer's yeast)
Lineage: Eukaryota; Fungi; Ascomycota; Saccharomycetes; Saccharomycetales; Saccharomycetaceae
Description: partial large subunit ribosomal RNA
Rfam family: Eukaryotic large subunit ribosomal RNA
Source: RNAcentral
AGUACGGCGAGUGAAGCGGCAAAAGCUCAAAUUUGAAAUCUGGUACCUUCGGUGCCCGAGUUGUAAUUUGGAGAGGGCAACUUUGGGGCCGUUCCUUGUCUAUGUUCCUUGGAACAGGACGUCAUAGAGGGUGAGAAUCCCGUGUGGCGAGGAGUGCGGUUCUUUGUAAAGUGCCUUCGAAGAGUCGAGUUGUUUGGGAAUGCAGCUCUAAGUGGGUGGUAAAUUCCAUCUAAAGCUAAAUAUUGGCGAGAGACCGAUAGCGAACAAGUACAGUGAUGGAAAGAUGAAAAGAACUUUGAAAAGAGAGUGAAAAAGUACGUGAAAUUGUUGAAAGGGAAGGGCAUUUGAUCAGACAUGGUGUUUUGUGCCCUCUGCUCCUUGUGGGUAGGGGAAUCUCGCAUUUCACUGGGCCAGCAUCAGUUUUGGUGGCAGGAUAAAUCCAUAGGAAUGUAGCUUGCCUCGGUAAGUAUUAUAGCCUGUGGGAAUACUGCCAGCUGGGACUGAGGACUGCGACGUAAGUCAA